Molecule: ribosomal RNA, 301 nt
Filed under: uncultured Streptococcus sp.
Lineage: Bacteria; Bacillati; Bacillota; Bacilli; Lactobacillales; Streptococcaceae
Description: bacterial SSU rRNA
Rfam family: Bacterial small subunit ribosomal RNA
Source: RNAcentral
GGUUAAGUCCGCACGAGCGCAACCCCUAUUGUUAGUUGCCAUCAUUCAGUUGGGCACUCUAGCGAGACUGCCGGUAAUAAACCGGAGGAAGGUGGGGAUGACGUCAAAUCAUCAUGCCCCUUAUGACCUGGGCUACACACGUGCUACAAUGGUUGGUACAACGAGUUGCGAGUCGGUGACGGCGAGCUAAUCUCUUAAAGCCAAUCUCAGUUCGGAUUGUAGGCUGCAACUCGCCUACAUGAAGUCGGAAUCGCUAGUAAUCGCGGAUCAGCACGCCGCGGUGAAUACGUUCCCGGGCCUU